AUACGGAGGGUGCAAGCGUUAUCCGGAAUCACUGGGUUUAAAGGGUACGUAGGCGGCUAAAUAAGUCAGAGGUGAAAGCCCGGCGCUCAACGUCGGAAUUGCCUUUGAUACUGUUUAACUUGAAUUAGGUUGAGGUGGGCGGAAUGUGGCAUGUAGCGGUGAAAUGCAUAGAUAUGCCAUAGAACACCAAUUGCGAAGGCAGCUCACUGGCCCUAUAUUGACGCUGAGGUACGAAAGCGUGGGGAGCGAACAGGAUUAGAAACCCUAGUAGUCC
Molecule: ribosomal RNA, 274 nt
Filed under: uncultured bacterium
Lineage: Bacteria
Description: partial 16S ribosomal RNA
Rfam family: Bacterial small subunit ribosomal RNA
Source: RNAcentral